GACGAACGCUGGCGGCGUGCUUAACACAUGCAAGUCGAACGGAGCGAAUGAAAGCUUGCUUUUAUAAGCUUAGUGGCAAACGGGUGAGUAACACGUAGGCAACCUGCCGACAGGAUGGGGACAACAUUCCGAAAGGAAUGCUAAUACCGAAUGAAGUCGAGGGAGGGCAUCCUCCUCCGAUGAAAGAUGGCCUCUAUAUAUAAGCUAUCACCUGUCGAUGGGCCUGCGUCUGAUUAGCUGGUAGGUGAGGUAACGGCUCACCUAGGCGACGAUCAGUAGCCGGUCUGAGAGGAUGAACGGCCACAUUGGGACUGAGACACGGCCCAGACUCCUACGGGAGGCAGCAGUGGGGAAUCUUCCGCAAUGGGCGCAAGCCUGACGGAGCAACGCCGCGUGAGUGAAGAAGGUCUUCGGAUCGUAAAGCUCUGUUGAUGGGGACGAACGUGCCUAAUGCGAAUAGUAUUAGG
RNAcentral lists this ribosomal RNA (467 nucleotides) under Centipeda noxia. Its description in RNAcentral is "bacterial SSU rRNA". It matches the Rfam family "Bacterial small subunit ribosomal RNA", at positions 28 to 472 of the family's 1533-position model. Lineage: Bacteria; Bacillati; Bacillota; Negativicutes; Selenomonadales; Selenomonadaceae. The record is from RNAcentral.